RNAcentral lists this ribosomal RNA (626 nucleotides) under uncultured bacterium. Its description in RNAcentral is "bacterial SSU rRNA". It matches the Rfam family "Bacterial small subunit ribosomal RNA", at positions 51 to 674 of the family's 1533-position model. The record is from RNAcentral.
UAACAUGCAGUCGACGGCAGCACGGACUUCGGUCUGGUGGCGAGUGGCGAACGGGUGAGUAAUACAUCGGAACGUGCCCAGUUGUGGGGGAUAACUACUCGAAAGAGUAGCUAAUACCGCAUGAGAACUGAGGUUGAAAGCAGGGGAUCGCAAGACCUUGCGCAACUGGAGCGGCCGAUGGCAGAUUAGGUAGUUGGUGGGAUAAAAGCUUACCAAGCCGACGAUCUGUAACUGGUCUGAGAGGACGACCAGCCACACUGGGACUGAGACACGGCCCAGACUCCUACGGGAGGCAGCAGUGGGGAAUUUUGGACAAUGGGCGGAAGCCUGAUCCAGCAAUGCCGCGUGCAGGAUGAAGGCCUUCGGGUUGUAAACUGCUUUUGUACGGAACGAAAAGCUUCGGGUUAAUACCCUGGAGUCAUGACGGUACCGUAAGAAUAAGCACCGGCUAACUACGUGCCAGCAGCCGCGGUAAUACGUAGGGUGCAAGCGUUAAUCGGAAUUACUGGGCGUAAAGCGUGCGCAGGCGGUCUUGUAAGACAGAGGUGAAAUCCCCGGGCUCAACCUGGGAACUGCCUUUGUGACUGCAAGGCUGGAGUGCGGCAGACGGGGAUGGAAUUCCGCGU